RNAcentral lists this ribosomal RNA (361 nucleotides) under uncultured Glomeromycotina. Its description in RNAcentral is "bacterial SSU rRNA". It matches the Rfam family "Eukaryotic small subunit ribosomal RNA", at positions 569 to 936 of the family's 1831-position model. The record is from RNAcentral. Lineage: Eukaryota; Fungi; Glomeromycota.
AGCAGCCGCAGUAAUUCCAGCUCCAAUAGCGUAUAUUAAAGUUGUUGCAGUUAAAAAGCUCGUAGUUGAAUUUCGGAAUCAGUACGCCAGUCAUGCUUCGGUAUGUACUAGUGUCACUGAUUCCUUCCUUCUGACGAACCGUCAUGCCAUUAAUUUAGUGUGAUGUGGAAUCAGGACUGUUACUUUGAAAAAAUUGAGUGUUUAAAGAAGGCUCGCGCUUGAAUACAUUAGCAUGGAAUAAUGAAAUAGGACGUUUGAUCUUAUUUUGUUGGUUUCUAGGAUCGAUGUAAUGAUUAAUAGGGAUAGUUGGGGGCAUUAGUAUUCAAUUGUCAGAGGUGAAAUUCUUGGAUUUAUUGAAGAC